CGCAGAUCGUGUUUCCCUUGCUCAGAAUUGCUCCACAGAGCCGGCGAGGGAGCUCCAGCUAUGCCUGCCCACGCUUCAGGCAUGGUGGGAGUGCAUGGUCUCGCAUACAAAGGCUGGAUGGAAGACUUUAAAAAGCCAAUGCCCUGUUCCUGCUGGGAGCUGCGGGCAUGCAGAAUCCUACCUAUGUUUGAGAGUGAGGAAAGAGGAGUGCCUUGCUACCUCUGAGACUGAAAGAUAACCAUGCAAGAAACAUUGAGAAAAAUGCAGAGGAAGAUCAAUGCUUCAGUAAUUUGAACAUUUUAUUAAAGCAAGAGAAAUAUGCACCUGUACUGUCAUUUUAUACCUAUCUGAUAAUGUAGAAUGAGAGGAGAGUCCAGAAGAGAAAAGUGGAAAUGGCUCCUGUCUGGCAUUUCUAUACCAUCCCCUGUAAUGUGGAGAAAAUCCUUCUUAACUUUAGUAUCUCUUGGCAGAACAUGGUCACUGCAGAGGCCUCUUAAGUGAACUCAGCUCUCAUAUUUUAGUAGUACUAGAGUAUGCCAUGUGGGUUUUUUUCAUGGGGCCACCAGAAAUAUUUCUCCAGUGGUAGGAAAAAAAUAAUUCUCUCUUUUGCUUUUUUUUUUUUUUUUCUGUUUAAGCACAGGGCUUAAAGAUCCAUGAAUGACACAUGAGGCCAAACAUAGACUGUUUUCUUCUUUUUUUCUUUUUUUUUUCUUUUCCCUAAGUACCCUUUAAGCUGAAUUUUUCCAAAAGGAAACACAUAAAAUGAAGCUGAAACAGAUGUCUGGCACAGGUAUUUUCAAUUCAGUUUGUUAGAGUCUGAUAGGGCUAUAAACAACAAAAACCAGUGUUUCCCUUGACUAAUACAGUCAACCUUAACAUCAGAAAGUCAAGUAACUUUGCUCAUAAUCGUAAUAAGGAACUACUGACUGCCCAACUAUUACAUUUUUGCUGAUAAUACUAAGUUAUAAUAGAUAAUUAGAGUUAUCAAGAUGGGCAGCUGUUUCUUUGGAUGAAUACUGCCCUUUAAUUUUUUUUAAUUUAGGUAAGAUACCAAAAAUGUUACAAAUGAGUAGUCAUUCAUUAUAUAAAGCAGCAGCUGAGCGGUAGGUGGAGGAAUGGCUGCUUGUUCCUACUCCUAAGCAAACGCACGUUCAGCUUCAUUUUUUAAAAUUAAUUUUAUUUUGAUGGUAAAAAAGGGGAUCUCUAAUGACACAGAGAGUUUCAACUGGCAAAU
This 1234-nucleotide long non-coding RNA is filed under the name Parus major (Great Tit). RNAcentral's name for it is "lncRNA (ENSPMJG00000012454.1)". Lineage: Eukaryota; Metazoa; Chordata; Aves; Passeriformes; Paridae. The record is from RNAcentral.